This 292-nucleotide ribosomal RNA is filed under the name uncultured bacterium. RNAcentral describes it as "partial 16S ribosomal RNA". It matches the Rfam family "Bacterial small subunit ribosomal RNA", at positions 505 to 796 of the family's 1533-position model. The record is from RNAcentral.
GUGUCAGCAGCCGCGGUAAUACGAAGGGGGCUAGCGUUGUUCGGAAUUACUGGGCGUAAAGGGCGCGUAGGCGGACGCUUAAGUCAGGGGUGAAAUGCCAAGGCUCAACCUUGGAACUGCCUUUGAUACUGAGUGUCUGGAGAUCGGGAGAGGUGAGUGGAAUUCCGAGUGUAGAGGUGAAAUUCGUAGAUAUUCGGAGGAACACCAGAAGCGAAGGCGGCUCACUGGCCCGAGACUGACGCUGAGGCGCGAAAGCGUGGGGAGCAAACAGGAUUAGAUACCCGCGUAGUCC